AUGGCCCGUAUAUAUUCAAAUCGUUAAAUGAUCAACUAGCAUAUCAUAGUAAGGUUCUCGAACCAAACAAAGGACAUGAACAAUCUAUCCCCAGUUAUAUCUCUAACCAAACAAAAAACAAGGAUCAUCUCAUCCUUCCAACCAAAUAAUAUGAGGAAUCAUUCCAUUCCCAACUUAGGAGCCAUUCUAUUCUGCCCUCAUUUGUCCAGCAACCAAACGUAUCCUAAUAUAAUAAAUAGAGAUAGAGAUGUUUGUCCGACCGGCAAUUACCAAGGUACACAGACGAGGACAUAAAUACUUCAACUAAGGGAUGCUGUUGACAAAUCACAAUCGAUAUAGAACAAAUGAUGGGCGACAAUAACUUUUGCAUUCAUGCAUGCAGGAAGCGAUCGAACCAUUCGCUUGCUGCCUUCACCAUGUCGAUUGUGAUUUUAUGGCCGACUCCAGGCUCUGCAAUGAAC
This 461-nucleotide long non-coding RNA is filed under the name Zea mays. RNAcentral's name for it is "drought responsive lncRNA". The record is from RNAcentral. Lineage: Eukaryota; Viridiplantae; Streptophyta; Magnoliopsida; Poales; Poaceae.